This is a long non-coding RNA of Cervus elaphus (red deer), 512 nucleotides long. RefSeq lists it as uncharacterized. The transcript is spliced from 4 exons. The record is from RefSeq and is a predicted model, not a curated record. NCBI's taxonomy places the organism in Eukaryota, Metazoa, Chordata, Mammalia, Artiodactyla, Cervidae.
GUCUGGAAGGCUCCGCGAGGAGAGGAAGGGGACGCGGCUACCUUCUCCGCUACCCCGCCCUCCUUAAAGGGGCAGCAUCUUAAAGGCUGAGACGGCUUCUGGGUGGACCCGCGUCUUGCAGCCUUCUCAUUUUACAGAUGGAAAACUGAGGCUUGUCCAAGAUCACACAAAACUGAAAGUGAGAAGAUAGUCACCUAUGGACCAGAAAGCAGGCCCUCACCAAACUUCAAACCUGCCAGCCUGGAUCGUGGGAUUCCCACCUCCACAACUGGUGAAGAACACGAACACAGGGAGUUAGAGUCCCACAUGCUGAUAACUCCAUCAAGAGAGAAGAAAGGUUUUUCUCUUCCAGCUGCAGAAUGAGAACCUCCAGGGAAGGAGUAAUAAUAAAAUAGGUCCAGUCUGAGUCUUAAAAAAGGAAGCAAAUAUAAUAGCUCCAAACAUGAUUACAGGUAAGAUGGAUUCUUUACCGCUGGGCCACCUAGGAAGCCCCAUGGGUAAACUGAAAAAUG